AUGCGUGCAUACAUGCACACACAUGUGAAUGUGCUCAUACCACACGUGUCAGUGAGCGCAUGUGAGUACACAUGUGCGUGUGCACACCCACGCCCAGUGGCCAGAAACUCCCUCCGCGCGGGAGCGCGCCUGGCCAAGGUCACGCGUGUGCGCGCAUCGGUGUCAGCGGCUGGCGGGGAGCCGGGCGGGGGGGCCGCGGGGCCAGCCUUGGCCGGGGCAGCCGCGGGAGGAGGAGGAGGAGGAGGAGGGAAGUGCGGCUCAGACAGCGCGGCGCCAGCAAACACCUGCGAACAGCUCCGGGCACACAAUGGCAAAUACAGGUGGGAACCGCCGCCUCCGUCAGCGCAGCGAUUGCAUCAGACUCCGGCGCUUGCCAAGAGGCGAAUGAGCCGGAUCACGGGCCACCGGCGCGGCAGCGGCGCCGCUCUCGACCUUCACCGCUCCUCCUCCCCGGCAUUGGCUUUUUCCCUCCUCACCCCCUUUUCUGCACCCCUGCAGUGUAGCUGGGGUAGUAAAAGUAACGCCGGACUUACUCGGCCAGGAGCAUUUUUCUCGUUCCAGCUGUUCUCCCUGAGGGUUUUCCAGGAAAGCAUCGGCAUCCCACAACAGCCAAGAGAGGUUUCAAAGAAAGCACUGGCAACUGACAGCCCAGUCCAGGGAUCCAGUGAGGUCUAA
RNAcentral lists this long non-coding RNA (675 nucleotides) under Chloebia gouldiae (Gouldian finch). RNAcentral describes it as "Erythrura gouldiae (Gouldian finch) lncRNA (ENSEGOG00005014172.1)". Lineage: Eukaryota; Metazoa; Chordata; Aves; Passeriformes; Passeridae. The record is from RNAcentral.